This 471-nucleotide ribosomal RNA is filed under the name Triticum aestivum (bread wheat). RNAcentral describes it as "partial small subunit ribosomal RNA". The record is from RNAcentral. Lineage: Eukaryota; Viridiplantae; Streptophyta; Magnoliopsida; Poales; Poaceae.
AUGGGUGUUCUUGGUGCCCUUGCCAGGCAUUUGGAUUCCCUUGUUGGGCCAGGAAUCAUGCUGCUUUAUCCGCUAUAUGCGUCGAUGCGCGCAAUCGAGAGCCCUUCUUCCCUGGAUGAUCAGCAAUGGCUUACCUAUUGGGUGCUGUACUCCCUGAUCACCCUCUUUGAGCUCUCAUGCUGGAAGGCUCUGCAGUGGCUCCCUCUGUGGCCAUACAUGAAGCUCCUCUUCUGCUGCUGGCUGGUGCUGCCGAUCUUCAACGGCGCGGCCUACAUCUACGAGACGCAUGUCCGGCGCUACUUCAAGAUCGGCCAGUACGUGAGCCCCGGCUACAGCGAGAGGCAGAGGAAGGUGCUGCAGAUGAUGAGCCUCGACGCGCGCAAGUCCGUCGAGCGCUUCAUCGAGACGCACGGGCCCGGCGCUCUGGAGAAGAUCAUCCAAGCCGCUGAACAGGAAGCCAAGAGAGCCUAG